This 455-nucleotide ribosomal RNA is filed under the name uncultured bacterium. Its description in RNAcentral is "bacterial SSU rRNA". It matches the Rfam family "Bacterial small subunit ribosomal RNA", at positions 340 to 786 of the family's 1533-position model. The record is from RNAcentral.
UACGGAAGGCAGCAGGUGGGGAAUAUUGCACAAUGGGCGAAAGCCUGAUGCAGCUAUGCCGCGUGUAUGAAGAAGGCCUUAGGGUUGUAAAGUACUUUCAUCGGGGAGGAAAAACAAAACUAAUAAUUUUAUUUCUUGACGUUACCCGAAAAAGAAGCACCGGCUAACUCCGUGCCAGCAGCCGCGGUAAUACGGAGGGUGCUAGCGUUAAUCAGAAUUACUGGGCGUAAAGAGCACGUAGGUGGUUUUUUUAAGUCAGAUGUGAAAUCCCUGGGCUUAACCUAGGAACUGCAUUUUGAAACUGAAAUACUAGAGUAUCGUAGAGGGAGGUAGAAUUCUAGGUGUAGCGGUGAAAUGCGUAGAUAUCUGGAGGAAUACCUGUGGCGAAAGCGGCCUCCUAAACGAAUACUGACACUGAGGUGCGAAAGCUGGGGAGCAAACAGGGAUUAGAUACC